This is a long non-coding RNA of Monomorium pharaonis (pharaoh ant), 318 nucleotides long. RefSeq lists it as uncharacterized. The record is from RefSeq and is a predicted model, not a curated record. The transcript is spliced from 2 exons. Lineage: Eukaryota; Metazoa; Arthropoda; Insecta; Hymenoptera; Formicidae.
CAAAGAUACAAAAAUUUAGGUCCUUUAAGUUUUCACGAAAUUGGAGUGGCCACUUUGUUUUUCUUGUGCGUUUUUCUUUGGAUAUUUCGUAAACCUGGCUUUAUCCGUGGAUGGUCAGAAAUGAUUACUGACAUAGAUCUCAGAGAUUCUGUGCCGGUGAUAUUUGUUUGCAUUCUGAUGUUUUUCAUCCCGAAGGAGCCUAACUUCAUUUACAGUUUCAGCCAAGAUCGUAAGAUGUCACAAAAAUUCUAUUAAACCUUACCCACACAGCACAGGAUAUCGCAAUAUCCACCAGAUAUCCGAGGGAUAUCGCAAUAA